Non-coding RNA from Acanthosepion pharaonis, 111 nucleotides. The record is from the annotation of a GenBank genome assembly. NCBI's taxonomy places the organism in Eukaryota, Metazoa, Mollusca, Cephalopoda, Sepiida, Sepiidae.
CAACCACAUCACAAUGAAACACCAGUUCUUGUCUGAUCAUCAAAGUUAAGCAAUGUCACGUUUGGUCAGUACUUAGAUGGGUGACCGCUUGAGUAUACCAAGUGCUGUAAG